This 343-nucleotide long non-coding RNA is filed under the name Homo sapiens (human). RNAcentral's name for it is "non-protein coding lnc-TRPV4-2:1". Lineage: Eukaryota; Metazoa; Chordata; Mammalia; Primates; Hominidae. The record is from RNAcentral.
GUGCAUGCUACUAUUGAAGACAAUGGCGAGAACAAAUUAAGAGGGCAGGAGUCCAGGAGUGUAUUUCAUAUAGCCAGCUGAAAACACUUUAAGGCUACCAACAAAGCAAAACCAGUUACCACUAUUAAACGUUAUGAAUGAUGAAAAAGUCAACAGAGUAGAUAAAGCUUUUGUAUUCAAAAACUGCAAUUACUUUUGCACCAAUCUAAUAAAUAUACGAGAUUUGCACACUUCUUAAAAGGACUUUCUCUUGAACCUCUGUAGAAAGAACUGAUUCCUCAGCAGCAUCAUGAAAAUAAAGUAGUUAAUAUUGAUGAAGCUACAAAAUUAAUGGCUCAGUUCU